UGGCAGGAAAGGACACAUUAAACGUAACUGCAAGUGUCCUCCUAAAAAUAGAAAACCCCAGGAUUCUAAUGAUAACUCCCAUGACAGCCAACCACCUCCCCACCCCCAAUAGGAAAUUGGCAAACCAGUGUCCCUACAUAUUAUAAAUAUCCCUGACUCUGCAGGACCCUCACCCAUUAUUAAUGUUACACUGCCCGGGGAACGAAUAGUCCCUUUCCUGUUGGACACUGGCGCUGCUAAACAAAUGUUACAGGAAAAAUGUGUUCCCGUAUGAGAAAUCUAAUGAUGUAUUAUCAUGUGUAGGGGUGGAUGGUAUCGAAAAUGACAUUCCCCUUACCCACAAGCUGAAAUUGAAGCUACACGACUCUACUGCCCUUGUAACCACUACUUGUCAGCCCUCAUGCCCCUGCUAAUCUACUAGGCAGUGAUAUACUGUCUGCUCUUAGUGCAAAUAUCCAGUAUAGCCCCACUGGACAAGUAACAUUGUCUGUGCCUUUGGAGGACAAACAAAUGAUAUCUCUUUCAAAUGUUCUGGCAACUCUCACUAUGCCCAGCCAUGUGCCAGAACCUACCAUUGACUUGUCCUCAGUGCCUGAUUCCUUAUGGGCUACAGGGAAGACAGAUACAGACAGACUCUCUGUGCCCCCAGUCAAAGUGAAUCUCCUGCCCGGAGCCAAACCUCCCUAUCAGAAACAAUACCCCCUAAGCCCAGCACAGGAAGAUGCUAUUUUGCAAUCUGUUCAAGAGUUUCUGCAGGCAGGGUUAGUUGUCCAGACCACCUCCCCUUGUAACACACCAUUGUACCCAAUUAAGAAAAAGCAAGAGAAAGGGAAACCUGUGGUCUACCGUAUGGUAC
Pelobates cultripes (western spadefoot toad) is the source of this 856-nucleotide non-coding RNA. The record is from the annotation of a GenBank genome assembly. NCBI's taxonomy places the organism in Eukaryota, Metazoa, Chordata, Amphibia, Anura, Pelobatidae.